Molecule: long non-coding RNA, 1095 nt
Filed under: Gadus morhua (Atlantic cod)
Lineage: Eukaryota; Metazoa; Chordata; Actinopteri; Gadiformes; Gadidae
Description: lncRNA (ENSGMOG00000022701.1)
Source: RNAcentral
UGAACAGAGAUAACAGGGUUCCCAUUAGAAACCAUGGCAUUUGGGAAAUUUAUUCAAAUCAGAAAGUCAAGUAGUCCAGCUGUAGGCAAUAGCUCCCCCAAUAAUUGUUUAAUUUUUGACUGUGAAUGUUAAGAUAGAAAGUAGCUAGUAUAUUUUGUAAAAAAAAAGCCUUGAUUUCCCAGCUGUCUGCCGCUAAAUGUCAGGGUCCCCAGUAGUGAGGGGCGCAUGGUAGUUGAAAGAGAAGACACAACAGCGAGCCCAAGCUCUGACGCCAUCUCUCCACAGAGAUGCACUCUUUCAGGUUAAGGGAAGCGGAGAGAGCUGUGAGCUAACACUCUGGAAACCGGGGUCAAGUCACUUUGAGGUCCCUAAAGUCCCUGAGGGACACUCUGGUGAUGUGAGGGCGCCAGUGUUGCAGCCAAGAUCUGAAGAAUUAUCCCGACACGUCUGGACACUAUUCUUCAAGCCCGUCAGAAGCUAUUGCACUGUUCCCUAAAGUGCUUUGUCAGCCUCUGUAUACCGGAACAUCAUUGAUGAGGCCGUUUGGCGCCGUAACGCGUACUGCGCUUGGUCUAAAUGAAAUAAAUAAGGGGUAACACUGUCGUUUUUUAUUGGUCAACAUGGAAAAAACAUGAGGGGUAACACUGUUGUUUUUUAUUGGUCUUCAUGAAAAACAACAUAAGGGGUAACACUGUUGUCCUUGUCAAAUAAAAUAUAAGUCGUUAUUUAUUAGUCGUCAUGAAAUAAACAUAAGGGGUAAACCUGUCGAUAUUGAUCAAAUAAAACAUAGGGGGUAACACUGUCGUUUUUAUUUGGUCGUCAUGGAAAAAAACAUAAGGGGUAACACUGUUGUUUUUUAUCAGCCGUCAUGAAAUAAACAUAAGGGGUAAACCUGUCGAUAUUGAUCAAAUAAAACAUAGGGGGUAACACUGUUGUUUUUCUUUGGUCGUCAUGAAAAAAAACACAAGGGGUAACACUUGUCUUUGUCAAAUAAAAUAUAAGGGGUAACACUGUCGUUUUUUAUCAGUCGUCAAUGACGACUGAUAAAAAACGACAGUGUUACCCCUUAUAUUUGUCUUUGUCAAAUAAAAUAUA